Non-coding RNA from Cricetulus griseus (Chinese hamster), 747 nucleotides. NCBI's taxonomy places the organism in Eukaryota, Metazoa, Chordata, Mammalia, Rodentia, Cricetidae. The record is from RefSeq and is a predicted model, not a curated record.
CCUGUCUUGUGGCCAUUCUUUUUGCGUCUUUUGUCCCCAUUCCCUAUCCCUGACUCUCUUGCCCCAGGUUGAUGUCCUGCAGGUCAGGACAACUGGUGCCCAAAGUGAGGCUGGAUAGAGUUGGGGAUCUGGGAACUUCAGUGCUCAUUAGAGGGACGGCCUGUCUAUGCAAUGAGGCGUCCAAGACAAGGUCUAUUGUGAGCCUCGGUUGGAGGAAGACCCAGCAGCCUGCCCAGCACUUGGGACUUUCGGUUCAUGAGCACCAACUACAUGGAAAAGUGAGUAGGGAAAGGCCAAGACAGCUAAUGGCAGUUCCAUGAGAAACCAAAGAAGAGCUUGCUCAAGCUGGAACUACUGAUUCUACUCAGGAGAGAGGCUUGAUUGAAGGGCCAACAGGCCCUCAGCCAAUCAUCUCACUGUACCCUCUCCACCCAGAACAUGUGCCUUCCAGGGAAGCAUGCAUAUAUGACCAAUUAGAAGGUCCAGAUGCACCACCUUACUCUAAUGGUAUUUACGUGUGUGUGUGUGUGUGUGUGUGUGUGUGUGUGUGUGUGUGUGUGAAUAUAAGACAUUGAGACAACAACCGUGUCAUUAACAUGGCAACCCCAUUCUGAAAAUUUUUCCUCUAUAUUAGUUAACCCAACAGCACAAAUGUAACAAGAAAAGUAAAGAUUCAAGCUGAAUCAAGGUCACUUUCAUUCUGGUUUGAGGGACUAUGUCAAAAUAAAAUUUUGUCCUUCUCAGACA